RNAcentral lists this ribosomal RNA (1488 nucleotides) under Kocuria sp. RNAcentral describes it as "bacterial SSU rRNA". It matches the Rfam family "Bacterial small subunit ribosomal RNA". Lineage: Bacteria; Bacillati; Actinomycetota; Actinomycetes; Micrococcales; Micrococcaceae. The record is from RNAcentral.
AGAUGUUUGAUCCUGGCUCAGGACGAACGCUGGCGGCGUGCUUAACACAUGCAAGUCGAACGAUGAUGCCCAGCUUGCUGGGCGGAUUAGUGGCGAACGGGUGAGUAAUACGUGAGUAACCUGCCCUUGACUCUGGGAUAAGCCUGGGAAACUGGGUCUAAUACUGGAUACUACCUCUUACCGCAUGGUGGGUGGUGGAAAGGGUUUUACUGGUUUUGGAUGGGCUCACGGCCUAUCAGCUUGUUGGUGGGGUAAUGGCUCACCAAGGCGACGACGGGUAGCCGGCCUGAGAGGGUGACCGGCCACACUGGGACUGAGACACGGCCCAGACUCCUACGGGAGGCAGCAGUGGGGAAUAUUGCACAAUGGGCGGAAGCCUGAUGCAGCGACGCCGCGUGAGGGAUGACGGCCUUCGGGUUGUAAACCUCUUUCAGUAGGGAAGAAGCGAGAGUGACGGUACCUGCAGAAGAAGCGCCGGCUAACUACGUGCCAGCAGCCGCGGUAAUACGUAGGGCGCAAGCGUUGUCCGGAAUUAUUGGGCGUAAAGAGCUCGUAGGCGGUUUGUCGCGUCUGCUGUGAAAGCCCGGGGCUCAACCCCGGGUCUGCAGUGGGUACGGGCAGACUAGAGUGCAGUAGGGGAGACUGGAAUUCCUGGUGUAGCGGUGAAAUGCGCAGAUAUCAGGAGGAACACCGAUGGCGAAGGCAGGUCUCUGGGCUGUUACUGACGCUGAGGAGCGAAAGCAUGGGGAGCGAACAGGAUUAGAUACCCUGGUAGUCCAUGCCGUAAACGUUGGGCACUAGGUGUGGGGGACAUUCCACGUUUUCCGCGCCGUAGCUAACGCAUUAAGUGCCCCGCCUGGGGAGUACGGCCGCAAGGCUAAAACUCAAAGGAAUUGACGGGGGCCCGCACAAGCGGCGGAGCAUGCGGAUUAAUUCGAUGCAACGCGAAGAACCUUACCAAGGCUUGACAUUCACCGGACCGCCCCAGAGAUGGGGUUUCCCUUCGGGGCUGGUGGACAGGUGGUGCAUGGUUGUCGUCAGCUCGUGUCGUGAGAUGUUGGGUUAAGUCCCGCAACGAGCGCAACCCUCGUUCUAUGUUGCCAGCACGUGAUGGUGGGGACUCAUAGGAGACUGCCGGGGUCAACUCGGAGGAAGGUGGGGAUGACGUCAAAUCAUCAUGCCCCUUAUGUCUUGGGCUUCACGCAUGCUACAAUGGCCGGUACAAAGGGUUGCGAUACUGUGAGGUGGAGCUAAUCCCAAAAAGCCGGUCUCAGUUCGGAUUGAGGUCUGCAACUCGACCUCAUGAAGUCGGAGUCGCUAGUAAUCGCAGAUCAGCAACGCUGCGGUGAAUACGUUCCCGGGCCUUGUACACACCGCCCGUCAAGUCACGAAAGUUGGUAACACCCGAAGCCGGUGGCCUAACCCCUUGUGGGAGGGAGCCGUCGAAGGUGGGACUGGCGAUUGGGACUAAGUCGUAACAAGGUAACC